GGGGAUCGCAAGACCUUGCGCUGAUUGAGCGGCCGAUAUCAGAUUAGCUAGUUGGUGAGGUAAAGGCUCACCAAGGCGACGAUCUGUAGCGGGUCUGAGAGGAUGAUCCGCCACACUGGAACUGAGACACGGUCCAGACUCCUACGGGAGGCAGCAGUGGGGAAUUUUGGACAAUGGGGGCAACCCUGAUCCAGCCAUGCCGCGUGAGUGAAGAAGGCCUUCGGGUUGUAAAGCUCUUUCGGCCGGGAAAAAAUCGCAUGGGUUAAUACCCUGUGUGGAUGAUGGUACCGGAAUAAGAAGCACCGGCUAACUACGUGCCAGCAGCCGCGGUAAUACGUAGGGUGCGAGCGUUAAUCGGAAUUACUGGGCGUAAAGCGUGCGCAGGCGGUUUGAUAAGACAGGCGUGAAAUCCCCGGGCUCAACCUGGGAACUGCGUUUGCGACUGUCUCACUAGAGUACGGCAGAGGGGGGUGGAAUUCCACGUGUAGCAGUGAAAUGCGUAGAGAUGUGGAGGAACACCAAUGGCGAAGGCAGCCCCCUGGGUCGAUACUGACGCUCAUGCACGAAAGCGUGGGUAGCAAACAGGAUUAGAUACCCUGGUAGUCCACGCCCUAAACGAUGUCAACUAGGUGUUGGGUGGGUAAAACCAUUUAGUACCGUAGCUAACGCGAGAAGUUGACCGCCUGGGGAGUACGGCCGCAAGGUUAAAACUCAAAGGAAUUGACGGGGACCCGCACAAGCGGUGGAUGAUGUGGAUUAAUUCGAUGCAACGCGAAAAACCUUACCUACCCUUGACAUGUCCAGGAGUCCGAAGAGAUUUGGAUGUGCUCGAAAGAGAACUGGAACACAGGUGCUGCAUGGCUGUCGUCAGCUCGUGUCGUGAGAUGUUGGGUUAAGUCCCGCAACGAGCGCAACCCUUGUCGUUAAUUGCCAUCAUUUAGUUGGGCACUUUAACGAGACUGCCGGUGACAAACCGGAGGAAGGUGGGGAUGACGUCAAGUCCCCAUGGCCCUUAUGGGUAGGGCUUCACACGUCAUACAAUGGUCGGUACAAAGGGUUGCCAACCCGCGAGGGGGAGCUAAUCCCAUAAAGCCGAUCGUAGUCCGGAUCGUAGGCUGCAACUCGCCUGCGUGAAGUCGGAAUCGCUAGUAAUCGUGGAUCAGCAUGUCACGGUGAAUACGUUCCCGGGUCUUGUACACACCGCCCGUCACACCAUGGGAGCGGGUUCCGCCAGAAGUAGGUAGCCUAACCGCAAGGAGGGCGCUUACCACGGCGGG
RNAcentral lists this ribosomal RNA (1277 nucleotides) under metagenome. RNAcentral's name for it is "bacterial SSU rRNA". It matches the Rfam family "Bacterial small subunit ribosomal RNA", at positions 199 to 1466 of the family's 1533-position model. The record is from RNAcentral.